Molecule: long non-coding RNA, 758 nt
Filed under: Equus asinus (donkey)
Lineage: Eukaryota; Metazoa; Chordata; Mammalia; Perissodactyla; Equidae
Description: lncRNA (ENSEASG00005036618.1)
Source: RNAcentral
GGACUUGCUGCUUUCCACGCUGCAGCGUGGACACAGGGAAGCCGCCUUCUCCUUGCGGUUGGUGGGCUUUUGACAGCGACCUUUGCCUCUGGCUCAUUAGCUGUGGGCAUCAUUUCCAGUCGGAGGUGUAGGAUGGUUGGGGGAUGCGGUCCAGGGUGUGCUGAGAGUAACAGUAAACUUCCAGCAAACGUCGACUUCUCAGGAAGUAGCCAGAGCCACCAGCUUCCUCAAGAAAAGGAGAGAGAGAAUUCCUUCUCCACCAUGCAGAGCAUCCCCUGCCUCAGGAAGAAACCCAGAAGGUUCUGCAUGGGCAAGUAGGGUCAACGGUGCAGCUGACUGGAGCUGGCUGAGCCAAUGGUGCUGCUGUACUACAGUGUUUUCUGGGCUGUAUCAUCUGCAACCGGGGUUGGCCAGAGUGAGAGAACUCUGGGAGUCUCCACAGGAAGUGAAUAUUUCCUGACCAGCUCAUUCCUUGCUGCCUCUCCAACAUUUUCUUGUCUACAACUAAAACGUUUUGCCUUGUAUGUUCCCGCCCAAGGCCUCUUGAGACAGUGGGUGUUUUCUUCUUUCAUUUUCAACUCGUGCCAAAUGUGUCAGGAGUUAAGUCCAUAAUGCAUAGAUCUUGGCCCCGGAUCUUUCAGGGAUGUGGCCUCUCUUUCUGACACAGGCCGCACACUAACCAGAUGUGUCUGAAAGUCUGACCCUUUAAGAGAUCCUGGCUUGGUGCUUCUUUAUAAAUGAAAACCCUGUUAAGAGAG